This 27-nucleotide small RNA is filed under the name Bombyx mori (domestic silkworm). Its description in RNAcentral is "ovarian small RNA-28254". Lineage: Eukaryota; Metazoa; Arthropoda; Insecta; Lepidoptera; Bombycidae. The record is from RNAcentral.
UCGAAUGGUGUAAAGCCUGUUGCGGAA